This 1431-nucleotide long non-coding RNA is filed under the name Salmo salar (Atlantic salmon). Its description in RNAcentral is "lncRNA (ENSSSAG00000081948.1)". Lineage: Eukaryota; Metazoa; Chordata; Actinopteri; Salmoniformes; Salmonidae. The record is from RNAcentral.
AAUUAUAGUAGACUAUAUUUCAUGGUAUUCUGACCUAAUCUGAUCAUAGGUCAACAGAACAUACGUAGUUGCCUAUAAAAUGUUUUACAGACAUCUACCAUAACUUAAGAGGUACUUAAUGGUGUUCUACAAUUCGAUAAAUUGCUUUGCAAUGACCCAGUGUCACAAAUGAUGUAUUUUAUUGAUUGUGCAGCAUAUCCUGGGAUAGCCUUGGAUGUAAUAUAGCUAGACACAUUGGUAAAUUAAUGUUAGCUAGCCAUGCUGCCUCAUGCUAGUUGUGUUAAACCCAGCUAUAGUUUUGUUUCAUUACUGGUAGCUAGCAUGUUCUAUCUAUCAGUGAUCAUUGCCUUGGUGAUUGAUUUGAUGGGUUGUCAUGGAUACAGCACACUACUGAUUACACAGCCAACGACAUGUGCCUCACCAUGCAAUAAUUACUCCAAAUGCAUCUUCUCAUUAUUUAUUUCAUACCUUUCAAUGUCUGUUGGAAACUGGACAUUUUACAGUAAACAAGGUAUUUAUUGAUGAUGUAUGUUUCUUAUCGUGAAAAAAAAGUUGAUUCACAGAAGGAGUACUAGUAGUGGCAAAACUUGCAAAGACAUUGAUUUCUAGCAAUUUUUUGUGAGUUGUGAAUUAGCUAGCCAGCUAAAUAUCUACUUGGGACAAGCUAGCUAGCUAGCUACCGCCAAGAAGAGGAUGAAGACCAUUUGUGCCUUACUGAAUGUACGUGACGAUCAUUAGGAAAACGUCCACUGUCUAGUGCACUCGUCCCAAUCAAAGUUCUCUAUAAACAAUUAGGUCACCAGGCUGCUCGUUAUGGCGCACACCUGUCACCAUCAUCAGACUCACCUGGACUCCAUCACUUCCCUGAUUACCUUCCCUAUAGAUGUCACUCCCUUUGGUUCCUUCCCCAGGCGUUAUUGUUUCUGUUUCUGUGUUAUGUCUGUGCGUUGUUUGUGUUUCUUAUUUUGUAUUAUGUUGUGUUUAUUUAUUAAAACACUCACUCCCUGAACUUGCUUCCCAACUCUCAGCGCACAUCAUCACACAUUCUUAUGGAGGACUGCUCAUACUGGGGAGUGUCAAUAUGGCCGACUGUUGGCUUCAAAGCCUCUCAUUGUCCAGUACAUAGUAUUAACAAUCCAGGUGUCACGUCCUGACCAGUAAAAGGGGUUGUUUGUUAUUAUAGUUUGGUCAGGGCGUGGCAGGGGGGGUUUGUUUAGUGUGUUUCGUUUUUUGGGGGAAAUGUUCUAUUUCUAUGUCUGUGUCUAUUUAUUCUAUUUCUAUGCUUAGUUUAUUGGGUUGACCUUCAAUUGGAGGCAGCUGUUCCUCGUUGCCUCUAAUUGAAGGUCCUAUUUAAUAGGGGUGUUUGUUCAUUGGGAUUGGUGGGUAAUUGUUUCUCCGUAUAGUCAUUUGUCCUUGCGGGACUGUUUUUCG